Long non-coding RNA from Magnolia sinica, 459 nucleotides. RefSeq lists it as uncharacterized. The transcript has 3 exons. Lineage: Eukaryota; Viridiplantae; Streptophyta; Magnoliopsida; Magnoliales; Magnoliaceae. The record is from RefSeq and is a predicted model, not a curated record.
AUUACCACCAACAAUCUAAGGCAGCCCAUUAAUGAAAAUGUUAGCAAGCUGACAAGCUUUUUGGGAACAAUAGCACAUAAUGGGGAUUACGCACCCCUUACAUAUUCUAAUUGGAGGGCAGUGCCAAAUGAGAAGAAGGAUGAUAUGUAUGAACUUGUCAUGUCCAAGUUUUAGUUUGACAAAGAGAUUAAAUCUUGGGUGUUGAUGUUGAUUGGUAAAAAAUGGAGGGAUUAGAAGUGCGAACUGAAGAAAUUCCACUACUCGCCUCAUGAUAAUGAUGAGGCAUGGUUAGCAGACCUCAAUGAGCGUGUCCAUAUGGAUCAGUGGAAGGCCCUCAUUGAGUUUUGGAACUCUGAAGAGGGAAAGGCCCGUAAUAAGAUAAAUAUAGAAAAUCAAAGAAAACAACGCAUCAGCCACGCUGCAGGCAUGAAGAGCUUUGCGCGAAUACGUGAUGAAGAG